RNAcentral lists this long non-coding RNA (1157 nucleotides) under Canis lupus familiaris (dog). Its description in RNAcentral is "lncRNA (ENSCAFG00845013843.1)". Lineage: Eukaryota; Metazoa; Chordata; Mammalia; Carnivora; Canidae. The record is from RNAcentral.
GCAGGGGGGAGUUAUAUCACUGAGGAGGUGACAUUUGAGCUGCCCUGUGAAGGAUGAAAGAAAUUCACCAGGUGGGUGGAGGGCAUUCCUGGCAAGAGAACAGCGUGAGCAGAGCUCAAAGGCUUGGGAGUACAUAGCACAGAGAGGGUGGUAUGGGAAUGAAAGUGUUUGUGUGUGUGUGUGUGUGUGUGUGUGUGUGUAUGAGAGAGACAAAGAGGGACAGAGGCAGAGAGAGGCAGGCUUCUAUUUGUGUCCGCAGAUCUUUCCUUGGCCUUUGGCUCCCAGGGACACCCUUCCCAGAGCUCUUGGCCUAGCUCUGAACUCUAUGGGCCUCUCCCUGCUCCCCUCUGGGCUCGGAGCUUCUGCACUUCAGCCCCACAAGUGUUUCCCUGUUCCUGCAGCAGCUCCCCGCCUGGACUUUGUUCUUCCGAAGACUGCCCUAAGCUUGGCCUCCAGAAGGACACUUGAUCCCAUCCCAUGGCUGGCAGUGGCGCGCAGCCCUUGGAGCAGCUGCAAGGAUGGUGUUGACUCCAGAUGGAAAGUGUUUCGAGAAUUCUGACGUGACAUCAUCACGACAUUGCACUGACAGUAACUGAUCUGGGAGUGGCCAGGCAAAGGAAAGCACAAAUGUGAUGUUAAACACACAGAGGAGACCCCACAUCAGUUACUCAUACAGAUGCUGCCAAGGAUCCAGCUGUUUCCCACUGUGCAGACAAAUUCUCAGAGUCCAGGCAGUACCAUGUGACCAUCUCCUCUCUCCUCUGCCAUCUUGCCUACCAAUGGGAAGAACUCUUGCUGGGCUUUGCAAGGGAGCAGGUGCUGCUGCUCCCUGCUCCUUCCUAUCUCUUUUGGUCAAGAACGCAGACCAUGAACAUAACACCUUCGUUCUUGUUCCUUGGACCAGUCAUCCAGGGCACGUGGACCCUCCCAGUGGCACACUGUGCCAGCCCAAGGGCUACCACAGGCGACUUCAAAAUGAGCAGGUUCCUUGCAGGGAGAUGUGCAGUACAGCGUCACACCACCAGGGGGCGCUGCCCAGCUGGUAUCUUUCUCCUUCAUGCUCUGCCGGGUUUCUCAAGGAGGCUGGGAAGACAGAAUCAGGAGCCCUGGGAUGCAGUUUGCUUCCUGUUCCUGUACAUUCCAUCUUAUCCAACUAA